This 305-nucleotide unclassified non-coding RNA is filed under the name plant metagenome. RNAcentral describes it as "partial contains 5.8S ribosomal RNA, internal transcribed spacer 2, and large subunit ribosomal RNA". The stretch from base 1 to 105 matches the Rfam family "5.8S ribosomal RNA", at positions 50 to 154 of the family's 154-position model. The record is from RNAcentral.
GAAAUGCGAUACGUAGUGUGAAUUGCAGAAUUCAGUGAAUCAUCGAAUCUUUGAACGCACAUUGCGCCCUUUGGUAUUCCUUAGGGCAUGCCUGUUCGAGCGUCAUUUGUAACCUCAAGCUCAGCUUGGUGUUGGGUGUCUGUCCCCGCCCCGCGCGGGGACUCGCCUCAAAAACAUUGGCGGCCGGUACGUUGGCUUCGAGCGCAGCAGAAACGCGAACUCGAGGCCCGACGGAUCGGCGACCAGAAGUCACUUCUUCCACAGCUUGACCUCGGAUCAGGUAGGGAUACCCGCUGAACUUAAGC